ACACCAAGACAGUCACAUGAGUGCAAUGAUUCAUUUAGUAGAAAUCUAAAAAAUACAGUCAGACAUUUUUAUGGACACUGAAAAUCCACUAACAUAUCUGAUUAAAUAUCACUCCUAAUAACCCAAUUUGAACACUUGUGUUGUACUAAACUGACCUGAUCAGCUUCAAGUUAAAUGCAAUUCAAGGCAAACUGACGAAAGCAGAGGAAGUGAGGAUGGACACACGGCACGGAGCCUCACCUUUCCUCAAGAAGGGAGAUUUGUCGGGGUUCAUGUACUCCUUAGGGACCAGGCUGAAGUUGGACAUUUUG
Molecule: long non-coding RNA, 311 nt
Organism: Sander lucioperca (pikeperch)
Lineage: Eukaryota; Metazoa; Chordata; Actinopteri; Perciformes; Percidae
Exons: 2
Source: RefSeq, a predicted model, not a curated record